Long non-coding RNA from Silurus meridionalis, 1221 nucleotides. RefSeq lists it as uncharacterized. The transcript has 3 exons. The record is from RefSeq and is a predicted model, not a curated record. NCBI's taxonomy places the organism in Eukaryota, Metazoa, Chordata, Actinopteri, Siluriformes, Siluridae.
CAGUUCUCAAAUGCAAUCGAGGGUAACAUGUCUGCUUAUAAAAAACCUUUUUACCCAGAAGAAAAAGCAGCACCAGCAACUCCCCAUAACUGUGUUCAUCACUCGGAAGAAGACACCAGACACUAUGCCUUUAGCGACAACAGACGUUAUGGACGAGGGUGAAGAUACUGCACCACCUGAUGAAGAGCUGUAAUGCUCUUCUUGGGUAUGCAGUACAUUCAUUUCAUCACCUUCAUCAUCAUUAGUACUGCACACUUAAUUCAUCAUCAUCUUCAUCAUUCAAGUUGUACCUUCACUGAGAGGACCUUUGGCUGAUCCUGAACACUUGGCUGUUGCAAACAAGAACAGAGCAAACACCAUACUAAGACGUCUCUGUAGCAGCAGUUUUCAGGCUACUUGGACGACUUGGCUAACAAGGGUUUAAGGAGAAACUCCCAAUGUCAGUCCAAAAUCUGACAAAAAAGCAUAGAUGUGUUUGGAACAGAAAAACUCAGGAAAGAUAUCAUUAAAUCUUUAUUCUCUGAUGUUUAGUUCUUCAUCAACAGGAAAGUGCUUCAGCAAGUCCUAAUUUUAUGAUGGAUUUUGUGUGCAGAUUUGCCGUGGGAGCUGCAGCUUGCAGUGGUUUAUGCCACUCAUGAUCUGGCAGCCAGCAACCCCAAAGUCGCUGUAAAGAUUUUGAAAUCAUGGUGGCAAGACAUCACAAAGCUCAUUCCUCCAGCCGUCACCAAGCCUCAGACUCUCUUUAUGAAUAAUUUAAUAGAUUACUUUAAAAGUGAUUUAGAUCUAAAACUUUUGUUCGUAAAGAAAUAAAAUACAUUUUAGAUCUGUACAGUGUUAUCUGCUGUCUAUUAUAGUUUAUGUUUAUGUGGAAAAAGCCUGUAUGCUAUAAACUCCAUGAUGGAGACAUCAGACAGUUUGAGACAGUUUGGAUCAGGACCAGCAAAACCCAUCACAGUGAGCACUGGGACCUCAGGGCCGUAUCCUCAGUCACCAGCUGUUCACACUGUGAUUCAUGACUGUGCUGCAAUGCACAGCUCAAAUCAUCAAGUUCACCAGUCACAUGACUAUGGUGAGUUUAAUCAUCAAGAACAACGAGACGGCUUUCAGACAGGAAAUGCAGUGGAUAAUGGAUUGGUGCAGACUCAACAAUCUUGUGUUCACCUGUGGAGAAACUCACCUGGUCUCUCAAAUCCUCCAGCAUUGUGGAUAAUCAAACACACA